This is a long non-coding RNA of Gossypium arboreum, 1090 nucleotides long. RefSeq lists it as uncharacterized. The transcript is spliced from 3 exons. The record is from RefSeq and is a predicted model, not a curated record. Lineage: Eukaryota; Viridiplantae; Streptophyta; Magnoliopsida; Malvales; Malvaceae.
CCUUUUAAUCAUUUUCCCUUACAGACGUAACGGAAAAAUAACAUGGCAUUUAAUGGUGGGUUAGCUGUAAUUGUAACUGUCCUUUUUAACCCUAAACAGCCCUGGGCAGUAGAAGAAAAAGAGAAAAAGAAGAAUAAGAGAAGAAACAAAAAAGAAGACGAAGAAGAAGAAGAAGAAUAAGAGAAAAUGGAAGGAGCUUUGUAUCAUUAAUUCCCAAUGGUCAAAAUCCGGGAACUCAAAGAUGACUACGCUUCCACGGCAUUGACACCUCCAUGGCCAACGCCCUCCACCGCAUAAGGGAUAUCUUCAGAACAGAUUUGGCUGCUGCAACCUCUUCAAUUGAAGGCCUUGGUGGAAGUGAUCUAUAAAGUCUCAUGAUUUCUUGUACUGUUUCUACAAAAACUGGUGAUGGAUCUUGCUUUGACAUCACUGCCAUGGCUAUGGUGGUUUUUGGUUUUAGACGAGGAAAAGAGAUUGUUUUAGAAAGUUUAUCUCAAGCGUUGGCGAAGGGUCUUUGGUCUUCAUAAUCAAAUACUAUAUGGAUUAGACUAAUUAUUUAUAAUAGUUGGCUACCAUUUCUGUAUUUUCUAUACAAUUAUAUUUUCAUCAUAAUGCAUAUUAUUUUCCUAAUUAUAAAGUUCCCUGGACCUUCUUAAACAAUGGGCUAAUACGCCUCUCCUCUGUCUACAAGUCUACUUCCGCCUUUACUCCACUACAAGUCUACAAGGGAUGCGGGUGGCUUGGGGUUAUUCAGCAACUGUUGUUGUGGCCCUUAAUUUGUAGCCAUUGUUCUGUUGUGGGAGAAAGAAGAUGAAGAGAAAGAAGAGAAGAACAAGAAAAAAUAAAAGAAGCAUAAAGAGAAAGAGGUUGAGGGAGAAGAAGAUGAAGAGAAAGAUGAGAAGAAAAAGAAAAAAAAUCAUUUUGACCAAUCAUCUUUUCUUUUCUUGUUUGACCCUUUGACUACUCGUUCAACGUGGCAAGUUAACUGGUCACAUCAGCUAUUUCAUUAAAUUUGUGACGGAAAAUGUUAAUAAGUGACUGAUUUGUCACUUUUCAAUAACGUUAGUAAUUGUUUUGUUAUUUUUUCAAA